GCCCAGCCGGUAUAAGCGCCAGCAGCCCCGCCGCCGGCAUGCUGUCCACAGCCCUGGCCUCCACUGCCCACAUCGCCCUGACCUGUUUGCGCCCUGACUUUCUUCAAUCACACCUGAAUAAAUCACUUAGAGAGAGCUUAUAGCUUCAUUCCACCACGUGUGGCAUUUGGCCCUGUUUGGCAGUGAUGACCGCCUUUCUGUUCAGUGUCUGAGUGCUAUGUAGAUUGCACACAGGGGUCCAGAUGCAUUCUGUUUUGAGAAUGUCAGUGGAUACACCAAUAGCUGCUUUGGAUUUCACCAGAACCGCUGUUUGGAAUGCAGCCAAUUCAAGUGAAGAAAUAUCCAUAUUUGUGGCUCUGUUACAGUGGUGAAAUCUACAACCAUAAGAAGGUCUUGUUACAUUGAAGCACUUCAAGACUCCCUUUUUAAAAGUGGAGCCCUUUCUUCCUGGACACUAUGAAGUUUUUGAUUUAAAGCCAAAUGACCAAGUUGCAUCCGUGGUAAUGGUUAAAUAUCAUCACUGUCGGGAUGAACCCCCACACGUGCUCUAUUACAAUGUGGAGAAACUCUUUCCAGGUUUUGAGACAGAAACUGUGAAGAACAAACUCCGGAUCCUUUUUCAUGAUGCUAUAAAGAGGCGUUUUAUGAUAGACAGGUUGCCUUUUAUCAGAGGGCUUGGACUCCAGCUUGUUGCUGCUACCCUGUUGAAGCAGCUCAAAGAGGCCCAAGUACAGUAUCCUCUCCAGACAUUUGUAAUUGGCAUGGAAGACAGCCCUGAUUUACUGGCUGCUAGAAAGGGAAGUUAUUUUCUUUAACAAGUAAAUGGGCAUUUAUAUAAUAAGGUGGCAAAUCAUAUUGGAAGUGAACAUCAUGAAGUUCUCUUUAACUCUGAGGAAGGCUUUCAGGCUCUGGAUGAAGUCAUAUUUUCCUUGGAAACUUACAACAUUACAACAGCUGAUGCUUCAAAUGAGAUAGAAAAACAUCUCCUGAGAGAGACAUUUGAGGACUCCAAUCUGAUACUCAAAGAGAUUCUCUGGUGACCAAAAGAAGUCUUCAGUGAUGGAAUAACUUCAGUUAAGAAUUCCUGGUUUAAGAUUUUACAGAAAUAUGUUGAACAUCAGGUUGAUGAUGCAAUGAUGGCAAAUGCAGCCCAGAAAUUUCCCUUCAAUACUCCUAAAACCAAAGGAUACUACUACCAUCAAAUCCUUGAACACCAUUUCCCAGGCCAGGCUGACUGGCUGAGCCAUUACUGGGUGCCCAAGUGGAUCGAUGCCACUGACCCUUCUGCCCACACACUGACCCACUACAAGUCAGCUGCCAAAGCUUAGGUGCUCUUUAUGCUGUAAUAUGAAAGCAAAUAUUUCUUCUUAUU
Long non-coding RNA from Homo sapiens (human), 1372 nucleotides. Ensembl annotates it as ASNS pseudogene 1. Its record names the gene ASNSP1. NCBI's taxonomy places the organism in Eukaryota, Metazoa, Chordata, Mammalia, Primates, Hominidae. The record is from Ensembl.